This 612-nucleotide ribosomal RNA is filed under the name Rhodococcus sp. NRTG. RNAcentral's name for it is "bacterial SSU rRNA". It matches the Rfam family "Bacterial small subunit ribosomal RNA", at positions 417 to 1039 of the family's 1533-position model. Lineage: Bacteria; Bacillati; Actinomycetota; Actinomycetes; Mycobacteriales; Nocardiaceae. The record is from RNAcentral.
UUCGGGUUGUAAACCUCUUUCACCCAUGACGAAGCGCAAGUGACGGUAGUGGGAGAAGAAGCACCGGCCAACUACGUGCCAGCAGCCGCGGUAAUACGUAGGGUGCGAGCGUUGUCCGGAAUUACUGGGCGUAAAGAGCUCGUAGGCGGUUUGUCGCGUCGUCUGUGAAAUCCCGCAGCUCAACUGCGGGCUUGCAGGCGAUACGGGCAGACUCGAGUACUGCAGGGGAGACUGGAAUUCCUGGUGUAGCGGUGAAAUGCGCAGAUAUCAGGAGGAACACCGGUGGCGAAGGCGGGUCUCUGGGCAGUAACUGACGCUGAGGAGCGAAAGCGUGGGUAGCGAACAGGAUUAGAUACCCUGGUAGUCCACGCCGUAAACGGUGGGCGCUAGGUGUGGGUUUCCCUUCCCACGGGAUCCGUGCCGUAGCCAACGCAUUAAGCGCCCCGCCUGGGGAGUACGGCCGCAAGGCUAAAACUCAAAGGAAUUGACGGGGGCCCGCACAAGCGGCGGAGCAUGUGGAUUAAUUCGAUGCAACGCGAAGAACCUUACCUGGGUUUGACAUGUACCGGACGACUGCAGAGAUGUGGUUUCCCUUGUGGCCGGUAGACAGGU